GGGGAAAAAAAACCAGAUACAGGACACACA
RNAcentral lists this non-coding RNA (30 nucleotides) under Mus musculus (house mouse). Lineage: Eukaryota; Metazoa; Chordata; Mammalia; Rodentia; Muridae. The record is from RNAcentral.